RNAcentral lists this unclassified non-coding RNA (253 nucleotides) under uncultured Enterobacteriaceae bacterium. RNAcentral describes it as "contains 16S-23S intergenic spacer region". It matches the Rfam family "Bacterial small subunit ribosomal RNA", at positions 524 to 776 of the family's 1533-position model. The record is from RNAcentral. Lineage: Bacteria; Pseudomonadati; Pseudomonadota; Gammaproteobacteria; Enterobacterales; Enterobacteriaceae.
UACAGAGGGUGCAAGCGUUAUUCGGAAUUACUGGGCGUAAAGCGCACGCAGGCGGUCUGUCAAGUCGACUGUGAAAUCCCCGGGCUCAACCUGGGAACUGCAUCCGAAACUGGCAGGAUAGAGGCUUGUAGAGGGGGGUAGAAUUCAAGGUGUAGCGGUGAAAUGCGUAGAGAACUGGAGGAAUACCGGUGGCGAAGGAGGCCCCCUGGACAAAGACUGACGCUCAGGUGCGAAAGCGUGGGGAGCAAACAGG